AAUUGACCUUCUUUGAUUAUCUUACAUGAUAUAAUUUAAUAUAUGUUCAUUUUCAUUUGAAAUUUUAUCCAGCAAAUGGAUUCAAAUCAUGAUGGCGUAAUCACCUUUGAUGAAUUUUCCCAAUGGUGUUUAAGGGAUAAUAAUACAUCUCAAAACUUGACCAUGUUUGACACGAUAUUCAUGUAACCAUUGUGUAAUUGACCACUCGCUUCAAUUAAAAUCACUAAUAAAUAAAAUUGAUGGUCGGUUUAUAUUAAAUACAUUUCGGCCAACCUCACUGACCACCGGUAGAUAAACAAA
Molecule: long non-coding RNA, 300 nt
Organism: Panonychus citri (citrus red mite)
Lineage: Eukaryota; Metazoa; Arthropoda; Arachnida; Trombidiformes; Tetranychidae
Exons: 2
Source: RefSeq, a predicted model, not a curated record